This 3045-nucleotide long non-coding RNA is filed under the name Gossypium raimondii (Peruvian cotton). RNAcentral's name for it is "long non-coding RNA (GRAI_LNC004723)". Lineage: Eukaryota; Viridiplantae; Streptophyta; Magnoliopsida; Malvales; Malvaceae. The record is from RNAcentral.
CUUCAUGGCCGUAUGUAGCAAGGGAACACCAUGGCUAGGGUUUGUUCAUCUUCCAAGCUUCAUGGUAAGUCCGUUCUAGCCCCGUUUUUCUUGUUCUUUGUAUUUUUCGCAUCCCGAUAACUUGCUUAAGCUAUCUCUACCAUUAAUUCGAGCUAGAAUUUAUGUCUGAAAAAUUACCCAUAGAUGAAAAGUGUGAAUUUUGAUGUUUCAUGAUAGAAUAUGAAGCUUAGAAUUAUAUUAAGCAACUUUUGCUAAGCGAUUUUGAGUGAAAACGAGUAAAACGACAUAAUCGAUAAAAAUACUAAAUGUUCAUAAGUAAGUGUUAGAGUUGGAAUUUGAUGUUUCUAUAGAAGGGAAAAAUGUUCAACAUGUCAUAAUACAUAAGAAUAAGGAAUNNNNNNNNNNNNNNNNNNNNNNNNNNNNNNNNNNNNNNNNNNNNNNNNNNNNNNNNNNNNNNNNNNNNNNNNNNNNNNNNNNNNNNNNNNNNNNNNNNNNAGCUUCGGCUACGUAUCAAGGGAGGGACUGAACAGAGCCUUUCAGUGGUAGCUUCGGCUACAUAUCAGUGUGGCACUUAUGUGCUAAUUCUCUACGUAUCUAUGUAUAUUCCGAGUGUUCAACGGGAAAUUGACUAAGUGUAAUUGAAUAAUGAAUAUAGGUGUGGAACUGAAUUGAAUAUCGACUUAGAAAUGGAAAAGUGAAUUUUGAAUUGAAUUGUGAUUGAAAGUGAAAAAGUGAAAUUAUGAAAGAGUACAUUUAGCAACAAAACAGUUUAGACAGCAACAGUUGUGUGACUUUGAAAAAUCACCAAAAAUGGUGGAAAUUUAAUUAGAGGCUGAAUAAUAUAUGAAAUUGAAGAUUAAUGAGUCUAUUUUCACAUAAAAGAAAUAGAAAAAGCAAAAGAGUUAUAUAUUUUGAGAUAUUUGAAGUUUAAUUAGACAGAGUCAGAAUGAGUUUGGAAUCCCCUAUUUUGACUUUGGAAAAUUGUAAAAAAUUGUACAAAAAUAAUUAUGGGAUAAAGUUUAUAUGUUUAGAAUUAUCAGUGAAUCUAUUUUUAUUAGAAACAAACGGAAACUAUAUCCGAAUUCUGUACAGUGAGAUAAUUAAUUUUUAGUGAAGAGAGGUCAGAACUGUCAAACAGUGAAACAGGGGAAACUUUAAAAGAAUAAACUGUACUAUUUGGCUAAACCAAAAAUUAUGAAAAUUUUAUGGUAAGAAUAUAUGUGAAUCUAGUUUCGGAUAAAAUUUACGGAUCUUAAUUUGGAGUUCUGUAGCUCCGGGUAAAAAUAAUUUAGUGACUAUGACUCGAAUAGACAGCUUUGAAUAUACAUGUUAGUGAAUAGAGAAAUUAUAGUUAAUGUUGUUUAAAUGUGAUAUACACAUAAAGGAUGUGGAAUGGAGAGGAGGAGGAGGACAAUAAAAUGUAGGAAAUAAUUGUGUAUAAUGGUCAUAUGCCCGAUUAUAAUCGGUAAAUGUUAAAUUGAAUGGUAAAUACGUAUUGGUACCGAAGGAACUAUUGCGGUUUUGAAAAGCAAUUGACCAAAUGUAUAAGAAAUUUAGUCUUGAUAUAUAUAUAUGAUAAUAAUGAUAUAUGGAUGAUUAUAUCAUUGAGUUGCAUUGAUUAAUUCGGUUUAUGUCAUGGAAAUGUCAAGAACAUUUGUCUUUGAUAUGUGAUGAUCAUGGUUUAAGCUCAUAUGGGGAAAUAAAGUUUCAUAGUAUGAGAGUGUGGUAUUGAAAUAUAUAUAUUGGAUUGAGAAAUUAAUUUGAAUUGUGAACACGAAAUAUUGUGAAUUGAAUAAAAUGGAAAUGGAGCUUUGAAUUACAUAAGUAAGUAUCGGGUCUCGUAGGCCCUAUUUGUUAUGAAUAUAAUAUUUUGAGGAUAUGUUAUAAAGAAUUAUAAAAGCAUGUUAAAAAUUUGAAGAGUUUAAAUUUGAAUGAAAUUUUGUAACUCAGUUUAAUACGUUUACAUGUGUAAGUGUUCUAGUAAUGCCUCAUACCCUAUUCCGGAGUUGAAUACGGGUAAGGGGUGUUACAUUGUUACUUUGAAAAUAUGUGAUUUAUGGCAUGAAAAAGUCCUUUGAAAUGAAGGUUGUUUUCAUGUAUUUGAAUUGAAAAUGUAACAUUUGAGUUAUGUGGACGAAUGAUUUAGAUUGUGAAAUUCUUUUCACGAUAUGAAUGAAAUUCUUUUCACGAUAUGAAUGUGUAAUUAAAGCUUUACAGAAUAUAUGACUGUAUAAAAUGAUCUAUGAUUUAAUGUACGAAUAGGGAAUUUAUGAUAAGCUUGGUUAAAAUAAGACGAAGGUAUAUAGUAGUCAUAUAAUAGAUGAAUGGUGAAAUUGAAAUGCUUGAUAUAUUAUAUGCCUUGUUUUGGUUGGAUUUAUAUGUGUAUUGCUUCACCUAUUAACCUUGUGAAGUAUGAUGUAUAGGAAAAAGAAAUUUGGUUUAUGAUAAAAUGAGGUUUCUCAUGGUUGGUUAAUCUAAUGCAAUUGGUAAGUUUAAGUUAUUUUAUAUGAACUCACCAAGCAUUAGUUGCUUAUAUAGUUGAUUUUCUUGUUUUGUAGAUCAUCGAAAAGCUAGAAUGGUUGAAUAUUUGUCAGAGCACGAUCCCACUAUCCAUCGAUCAAUUUUGGUAGCUUUUGAAUAUAUUGAAAUGGUUAUAAGUGUCAUGUAUAGGGUUGUGUGUUAUUUUGGUAUAAUUUGAUUGUAAUAAGGUUUUAAGUGUUGUUUUAGUGAUUUGUUUGUUUUUGAAUGGUGCCAAGUUCAUUUUAUUUAUGUCUUUUGAUGAAGACUUGUAAGAGAUGAGUAUUCAUAUGAGAUGAUAGUAGUUAUGCAUACUCUCAUGUAAGUAGAAAGGAGAAGGUUGUUUGAUACGUUUGUGAUAUGGUCAUUUGGUAUGUAUAAUGUAUGCUAAGGGAUAGAAGUUAUAUUGUUGAAUAGGUACAAAGUCGAUUAUAAUUGUUGUACCUAUUGUUGUUACAUUGGUUAAAACAUAUAGAAUGAUUGAUUUGGUAUAUUUUGAGUAAGUUUGGACUGAGUUUUGGUCUUAUG